CAGUAGCCACGGUAAUACGAAGGGUGUAAGCGUUACUCGGAAUUACUGGGCGUAAAGCGUGCGUAGGUGGUGGUUUAAGUCCGUUGUGAAAGCCCUGGGCUCAACCUGGGAAUUGCAGUGGAUACUGGGUCACUAGAGUGUGGUAGAGGAUAGUGGAAUUUCCGGUGUAGCAGUGAAAUGCGUAGAGAUCGGAAGGAACAUCUGUGGCGAAGGCGACUAUCCGGGCCAACACUGACACUGAGACACGAAAGCGUGGGGAGCAAACAGGAUUAGAUACCCGAGUAGUCCCUGUCUCUUAUAC
RNAcentral lists this ribosomal RNA (301 nucleotides) under uncultured bacterium. RNAcentral's name for it is "partial 16S ribosomal RNA". It matches the Rfam family "Bacterial small subunit ribosomal RNA", at positions 509 to 807 of the family's 1533-position model. The record is from RNAcentral.